RNAcentral lists this ribosomal RNA (443 nucleotides) under uncultured soil bacterium. RNAcentral describes it as "bacterial SSU rRNA". It matches the Rfam family "Bacterial small subunit ribosomal RNA", at positions 26 to 518 of the family's 1533-position model. The record is from RNAcentral.
AGAGCGAACGCUGGCGGAAUGCUUAACACAUGCAAGUCGCACGGGCAGCAAUGUCAGUGGCGGACGGGUGAGUAUCGCGUAGGAAUAUGUCCGGAGGUGGGGGACAACCCUGGGAAACUGGGGCUAAUACCGCAUAUGAGCUGAGGCUCAAAGCAGUGAUGCGCCUUUGGAGUAGCCUGCGUCCGAUUAGCUUGUUGGUGGGGUAAAGGCCUACCAAGGCGACGAUCGGUAGCUGGUCUGAGAGGACGACCAGCCACACUGGGACUGAGACACGGCCCAGACUCCUACGGGAGGCAGCAGUGGGGAAUAUGGACAAUGGGCGCAAGCCUGAUCCAGCAAUUCCGCGUGGGUGAAGAAGGUCUUCGGAUUGGUGAAGCCCUUUCGACGGGACGAUGAUGACGGUACCCGUAGAAGAAGCCCGGCUAACUCGUGCCAGCAGCCGC